RNAcentral lists this long non-coding RNA (659 nucleotides) under Oryctolagus cuniculus (rabbit). RNAcentral's name for it is "lncRNA (ENSOCUG00000033429.1)". The record is from RNAcentral. Lineage: Eukaryota; Metazoa; Chordata; Mammalia; Lagomorpha; Leporidae.
AUUAUCUGAGUUUAUUCUAUUGUUUGUACUGAAACUAGGUUUUUAUAUAUUUGUGAACUUUUGUAAUGAAAAUUAAAAACAAAUAAGCAGAGUACAACAAUAAAUACGGUACAUCUUAAAUUAUUUGGAGACUAAUAGCUCAGUUACAGAAAUAGUCGACCACUAGUAUUUUAACACUUGCUUGAUUCUUGCUAGACUCCACACUCCACACUUAAAAAGAAUGAAAUGGAACACAAUAAAUCUAAACUCAUUUUGUACUGGUGUGCAAGUCUGAUAAGGACCUUGGUGAGUCUGAGAUUGAAAAUAGUUCAGUUACUUAAUGUUACCUGCAGAUGUAAAAUAAUUCCUGCUCUUUUCCUCUUUAACUUAGAAAACAAGAGAGUUGCAUAUGUUGUUCUGAGAAUGAGCAUACUGGCCUGCCUUUUAUUUGGAAGCCUGCAUGUUUUCUUCAGUCGUAAUUUUCAUCCUGCGUUUCCAAGAUAUUUUAAAAUAUGAUUUCAACUGAAAGAAAGUGCUACACUUAAGAAUUUUCUUGGCCAAAAUAAUUGAUGAUUCAAAAAUCUAUUAUGAUUCAAAAUUAUGUCUUCCUUUAAUAAGCACAUAUUGGCGAGGAAUGAUACCUACAGAAUAAAAAUGAGAAAUAAAAUAUGGCUGUAUCA